RNAcentral lists this ribosomal RNA (270 nucleotides) under uncultured bacterium. RNAcentral describes it as "partial 16S ribosomal RNA". It matches the Rfam family "Bacterial small subunit ribosomal RNA", at positions 337 to 604 of the family's 1533-position model. The record is from RNAcentral.
ACCUACGGGGGGCAGCAGUGGGGAAUUUUGGACAAUGGGCGCAAGCCUGAACCAGCCAAGCCGCGUGAGGGAAGACGGCCCUAUGGGUUGUAAACCUCUUUUGUCGGAGAACAAAACCCGGGACGAGUCCCGGACUGCGUGUAUCCGAAGAAAAAGCAUCGGCUAACUCCGUGCCAGCAGCCGCGGUAAUACGGAGGAUGCGAGCGUUAUCCGGAUUUAUUGGGUUUAAAGAGUGCGUAGGCGGUCCGUUAAGUCAGCGGUAAAAUUGCG